CCUCAUACUCAGGGAUUUGUCUGUUUUGUUCUAGUGUCCAUUUUAACCAACUUUCAUUUCCUCCAGUUCUCCCUCUUUGCCAACCCAAAGCAACAUGGUUUAGCAGCAGCUAAGCUGGAGAAUAUUAAAGAUGGCAGCAACUUCCAUGUGCUCCAACAGGGAUCUGGCCCCACCACACAUCAGUGGCAGGUGUAGACGACAGUGAUUAUAUCAUCUCAUCCCUUCCUAAAAUCACAGCUGUGACAAGGGCCCCACCAAAACGAUGGCAAGUUUUGAAAUAAUGAAGACAAUUUGUUCUUUGGAGGAAAAAUAAGCUGGAAAAUUCUCUUCACAAAAUGACCAACCAGAAAGACUCCGAUUGUUUGUUUAUUACAUCGUAGUGGGGAUUUUGAGUGAUAUGACCCAGGCUGUGUGUGUGUGUGUGUGUUUGUGUGUGUGUGUAACAAUAAAAAGCAAACCAUGUUUUCAAGUUAUAAAAAAGACACAAGGACCUAGAGCCAUGUAGCAGCUCUUCUUCACAGAAUGAAUCUGACUCUUCAUGUACUACUGUAGCUACUUGGGGACCUUGAAAUUAGAAAGCUACUGAAAACUUGGAAGCCAAUGGACAUCGUAGAAGUUUUCCACAACAUUAGAGCAGAAGGCAGACAGUGUGUAUAGCAGACUGAAUGCUAGACUUGAAAUCAGAAGACUUGAAUUCAAGUCCCAUCUUGGUUCCUUGCUAGCCUUGUGACUUAUCAGUUAAAUGAGAUAUGCAUGGACUAGGUAACAUAGGAUUGUACCAUUUGGAAACAAAAAUGGCAGACUGGAGUUUUCAAAACACUUUUUCAUCCUUGCUUGCUUUUUCCUUCCUGUUGAAUUGUUGUCUGAAGACUCUGGCACCUCUAUUUGUGAAAUGGGCUUAGCUUAAAGCUUUCAUUGAAAUCAACUUUGCAGAAUGGCCAAUACCAUAUUGCACCUGAAACAUCUUACCCAUAAGCGGGGUUCCUUAUAUUUCUUUAUUAAACCAGAAGACAAAUGGAAGUCUUGUAUAAUUCCAAGUAUUUCUAGAACCUAGCAUUCUUUUUUCCCUUCUCCUCAUCCUUGCCCUUUUCACACAUUAUUUAUAGUAUACUCUAGCCAGGGGGCAUCCUACUGAAUGCAUCUUCAAAAUAGAGACAGGGAUUUUAUUGCUAUGAGACUUAAAAAUGGACAAUGAAUUUAUCCAAUUCACCUUUUUUUUUUCAGUAGAAUUUUAACAGUAAGCUUAUUCUCUUAGGUCUACCUGUCUCUUGAAGGAGCUCAUGCUAAACUGGCUUAGCUUUUCUUGAAGUCAGAUAAUACUUGAAGCAAGUACUUGUAACUCAGAUGUGAUAGAAUCAACAUAGUCAUAGAUAACAAAAACAAGAAGAAGGACAAGCAGAAAGAGGAAGAGAAGAAUGAAAAAGAUGGGAAGACCAAGAAAAUAAUAUCAACAAUAAGACAAAAAUACUACUACUUAAUAAAUUAUUAUUC
This 1491-nucleotide long non-coding RNA is filed under the name Monodelphis domestica (gray short-tailed opossum). RNAcentral's name for it is "lncRNA (ENSMODG00000042164.1)". Lineage: Eukaryota; Metazoa; Chordata; Mammalia; Didelphimorphia; Didelphidae. The record is from RNAcentral.